RNAcentral lists this ribosomal RNA (774 nucleotides) under uncultured Neocallimastigales. Its description in RNAcentral is "partial large subunit ribosomal RNA". It matches the Rfam family "Eukaryotic large subunit ribosomal RNA", at positions 23 to 616 of the family's 3401-position model. Lineage: Eukaryota; Fungi; Neocallimastigomycota; Neocallimastigomycetes; Neocallimastigales. The record is from RNAcentral.
ACACGCAUGACACACUGCAUAUCAAUAAGCGGAGGAAAAGAAACUAACAAGGAUUCCCUUAGUAACGGCGAGUGAAGCGGGAAGAGCUCAAAUUUGAAAUCUUCAAGGUUCUACCUUGACGAAUUGUAGUUUAUAGAAGUGUUUUCUGUUAGUGGAGUGGCAAAAGUUCUUUGGAAUAGGACAUCAUAGAGGGUGAGAAUCCCGUAUUUGGUCAUUCCUCCUAGCGUUGUGAUACACUUUCAACGAGUCGGAUUGUUUGGGAAUGCAGUCCAAAAUGGGUGGUAAAUUUCAUCUAAAGCUAAAUAUUGGCGAGAGACCGAUAGCGAACAAGUACCGUGAGGGAAAGAUGAAAAGAACUUUGAAAAGAGAGUUAAACAGUACGUGAAAUUGUCAAGAGGGAAGCGUUUGACACCAGUGUUGUUUUUCCGAAAAUCAAUUACGAAUGUUUUGUUUUUAAGGAGUUAUGACUUCAUCGGCUUGCUCCUUUCUUUAUGAAACUUUCUUAAUGCACUUUUCGGUUAACAAGUCAACAUCAAUUUCUUUUGUUGUAAAAGGGUAUGAGGAAGGUGGCUUUCUUUUCGGAGAAAGUGUUUAUAGCCUUGUGCCUCUGCAAUCGGAGAGAUUGAGGUCUGCAGCGUAGAUCCUUCGGGGUUAGAUACGUUUGUGCUAAGUUAUAGCUUUUCAUAGACAACUUGUUGACUAUGUUUAGUCUUGUAGCUUACUCGCUGACGCUAUUUUACCUACGCUUAGGAUGUUGAGCGCAUGUCUCUCUCU